This 996-nucleotide ribosomal RNA is filed under the name uncultured Halobacteria archaeon. Its description in RNAcentral is "bacterial SSU rRNA". It matches the Rfam family "Archaeal small subunit ribosomal RNA", at positions 340 to 1336 of the family's 1478-position model. The record is from RNAcentral. Lineage: Archaea; Methanobacteriati; Methanobacteriota; Halobacteria.
CGCGAAACCUUUACACUGCACGACAGUCGAUAAGGGGACCCCGAGUGCGAGGGCAUACAGUCCUCGCUUUUGUACACCGUAAGGGGGUGUCCGAAUAAGAGCUGGGCAAGACCGGUGCCAGCCGCCGCGGUAAUACCGGCAGCUCGAGUGAUGACCGCUGUUAUUGGGCCUAAAGCGUCCGUAGCCUGCCAGACGGGUCCGUCGGGAAAUCCACACGCCUAACGUGUGGGCGUCCGGCGGAAACCAGCUGGCUUGGGACCGGAAGACCCAGAGGGUACGUCCGGGGUAGGAGUGAAAUCCCGUAAUCCUGGACGGACCGCCGGUGGCGAAAGCGCUCUGGGAAGACGGAUCCGACGGUGAGGGACGAAAGCUUGGGUCACGAACCGGAUUAGAUACCCGGGUAGUCCAAGCCGUAAACGAUGUCUGCUAGGUGUGACACAGGCUACGAGCCUGUGUUUGUGCCGCAGGGAAGCCGCGAACAGAACCGCCUGGAAGUACGUCCGCAAGGAUGAAACUUAAAGGAAUUGGCGGGGGAGCACUACAACCGGAGGAGCCUGCGGUUUAAUUGGACUCAACGCCGGACAUCUCACCAGCACCGACAACAGUCACGACGGUCAGUUUGACGAACUUACCCGAGCUGUUGAGAGGAGGUGCAUGGCCGCCGUCAGCUCGUACCGUGAGGCGUCCUGUUAAGUCAGGCAACGAGCGAGACCCGCAUCCUUACUUGCCAGCAAACCUUCGGGUGGUUGGGUACAGUAGGGAGACUGCCGCCGCUAAGGCGGAGGAAGGAACGGGCAACGGUAGGUCAGUAUGCCCCGAAUGUGCUGGGCGACACGCGGGCUACAAUGGCCGGGACAGUGGGACGCCACUCCGAGAGGAGGCGCUAAUCUCUCAACCCCGGUCGUAGUUCGGAUUGCGGGCUGAAACUCGCCCGCAUGAAGCUGGAUUCGGUAGUAAUCGCGCCUCAGAAGGGCGCGGUGAAUACGUCCCUGCUCC